This 1310-nucleotide ribosomal RNA is filed under the name uncultured prokaryote. RNAcentral describes it as "partial 16S ribosomal RNA". It matches the Rfam family "Bacterial small subunit ribosomal RNA", at positions 29 to 1383 of the family's 1533-position model. The record is from RNAcentral.
ACGAACGUUAGCGGCAGGCUUACACAUGCAAGUCGAGCGCCCCGCAAGGGGAGCGGCAGACGGGUGAGUAACGCCUGGUUGGGGGACAACUCGAGGAAACUCGGGCUAAUACCGCAUACGCCCUAAGGGGGAAAGCGAGGGAUCUUCGGACCUCGUGCUAUCAGAUGAGCCUGCGUCGGAUUAGCUAGUUGGUGAGGUAAUGGCUCACCAAGGCGACGAUCCGUAGCUGGUCUGAGAGGAUGAUCAGCCACACUGGGACUGAGACACGGCCCAGACUCCUAUGGGAGGCAGCAGUGGGGAAUAUUGGACAAUGGGGGCAACCCUGAUCCAGCCAUACCGCGUGUGUGAAGAAGGCCUUAGGGUUGUAAAGCACUUUCAGUAGGGAGGAAAAGUAAGUAGUUAAUAGCUGCUUACCCUGACGUUACCUACAGAAGAAGCACCGGCAAACUCCGUGCCACCAGCCGCGGUAAUACGGAUGGUGCGAGCGUUAAUCGGAAUUCCUGGGCGUAAUAGAGGUGAAAUCCCGGGGCUCAACCUCGGAAUUGCCUUUGAUACUGUAGGUCUCGAGACCGGAAGAGGUGAGUGGAAUUCCUAGUGUAGAGGUGAAAUUCGUAGAUAUUAGGAAGAACACCAGUGGCGAAGGCGGCUCACUGGUCCGGUACUGACGCUGAGGUGCGAAAGCGUGGGGAUCAAACAGGAUUAGAUCCCCUGGUAGUCCACGCCGUAAACGAUGGGUGCUAGCCGUUGGCCAGCAUGCUGGUCGGUGGCGCAGCUAACGCAUUAAGCACCCCGCCUGGGGAGUACGGCCGCAAGGUUAAAGCUCAAAGGAAUUGACGGGGGCCCGCACAAGCGGUGGAGCAUGUGGUUUAAUUCGAGGCAACGCGAAGAACCUUAACCAGCCCUUGACAUGCCCGGACGGUUUCCAGAGAUGGAUUCCUCCUAGCAAUAGGCCGGGACACAGGUGCUGCAUGGCCGGUCGUCAGCUCGUGUCGUGAGAUGUCGGGUUAAGUCCCAUAACGAGCGAAACCACUUACCCUUAGUUGCUACGCGUCAUGGCGAGGACUCUAGGGGGACUGCCGGUGUCAAACCGGAGGAAGGCGGGGAUGACGUCAAGUCCUCAUGGCACUUUACGUCCAGGGCUGCACACGUGCUACAAUGGCGUGAACAGAGGGAAGCAAAAGCGCGAGCUCAAGCAAAUCCCAAAAAACACGCCCCAGUUCAGAUCGAGGGCUGCAACUCGCCCUCGUGAAGUUGGAAUCGCUAGUAAUCGCAGGUCAGCAACACUGCGGUGAAUGCAUUCAUGAGCAUGA